Molecule: ribosomal RNA, 468 nt
Filed under: uncultured bacterium
Lineage: Bacteria
Description: partial 16S ribosomal RNA
Rfam family: Bacterial small subunit ribosomal RNA
Source: RNAcentral
GACGAACGCUGGCGGCGUGCUUAACACAUGCAAGUCGAACGGAAAGGCCCUGCUUUUGUGGGGUGCUCGAGUGGCGAACGGGUGAGUAACACGUGAGUAACCUGCCCUUGACUUUGGGAUAACUUCAGGAAACUGGGGCUAAUACCGGAUAGGAGCUCCUGCUGCAUGGUGGGGGUUGGAAAGUUUCGGCGGUUGGGGAUGGACUCGCGGCUUAUCAGCUUGUGGGUGGGGUAGUGGCUUACCAAGGCUUUGACGGGUAGCCGGCCUGAGAGGGUGACCGGCCACAUUGGGACUGAGAUACGGCCCAGACUCCUCCGGGAGGCAGCAGUGGGGAAUAUUGCACAAUGGGCGGAAGCCUGAUGCAGCAACGCCGCGUGCGGGAUGACGGCCUUCGGGUUGUAAACCGCUUUCGCCUGUGACGAAGCGUGAGUGACGGUAAUGGGUAAAGAAGCACCGGCUAACUACGUG